AUCCAACUGACGAGUCCCAAAUAGGACGAAACGCGUGUCCUGGAU
Molecule: non-coding RNA, 45 nt
Organism: Schistosoma mattheei
Lineage: Eukaryota; Metazoa; Platyhelminthes; Trematoda; Strigeidida; Schistosomatidae
Source: Rfam